UACUCCGGAUCAGCCAUGACCUCUCAGAUUCGUCAGAAUUAUUCCACCGAGGUGAAAGCUGCCGUGAACCGUCUGGUCAACUUGCACCUGCAGGCCUCCUACACCUACCUCUCUCUGGGCUUCUUUUUUGAUCGUGAUGAUGUGGCUCUGGAGGGCGUAGGCCACUUCUUCCGCGAAUUGGCGGAGGAGAAGCGCGAGGGAGCCGAGCGAGCGUCUCUUCGAGUUGCAGAACGAUCACGGGGGCCGUGCACUCUUCCAGGAUGUGCAGAAACCAUCUCAAGAUGAAUGGGGUAAAACCCAGGAGGCCAUGAAAGCUGCCUUGGCCCUGGAGAAGAAACUGAACCAGGCCCUCUUGGAUCUGCAUGCCCUGGGUUCUGCCCGCGCAGACCCUCAUCUCUGUGACUUCUUGGAAAGCCACUUCCUGGAUAAGGAGGUGAAACUCAUCAAGAAGAUGGGCAACCACCUGACCAACCUCCGUAGGGUGGCAGGGCCACAACCAGCGCAGACUGGCGCGCCCCAGGGAUCUCUG
Molecule: non-coding RNA, 529 nt
Organism: Mus caroli (Ryukyu mouse)
Lineage: Eukaryota; Metazoa; Chordata; Mammalia; Rodentia; Muridae
Source: RefSeq, a predicted model, not a curated record